AUCCAACUGACAAGUCCCGAAUAAGACGAAACAUACGUUCUGGAU
This 45-nucleotide non-coding RNA is filed under the name Schistosoma margrebowiei. Lineage: Eukaryota; Metazoa; Platyhelminthes; Trematoda; Strigeidida; Schistosomatidae. The record is from RNAcentral.